Molecule: long non-coding RNA, 1968 nt
Organism: Clupea harengus (Atlantic herring)
Lineage: Eukaryota; Metazoa; Chordata; Actinopteri; Clupeiformes; Clupeidae
Exons: 2
Source: RefSeq, a predicted model, not a curated record
CUGCUCGCCACUACAGGACACGGGGAACAGGAGAAUAUUAACUUCAACCUGGGCACUUGUGCAGAGGAGCCAAAAACAUCAUAAUAAUAAUUCCAGACACUUAAAAAUAAAAACAAAAAAUACAACAAUUACAACAAAGCUGAAAUGAUAACUACAGUAAAGGUUUUAAAAAAUUUAAUUAGCUAAAUAAUUCCCCAAAGUGUCAUGGCAAAGAAACGCGCUUUAACAAGAAGAGCAGAAAGAGGAGGCCUUUUCUCCAAUCCCUGCUCAUACGUUGCUUUCUUUCUGUUAGGUAUUCAUCAAGACCAUCACUUGGGUGCAUGAAAAGCAUGAUGAAAUUGCUCUGGACACAAUUUUUGCUCCUUAAUGGCGCCUCUGUGGCUUUUGUAGCAGUUGUAAUGGGGGCUUAAUGAGAAAGCCCUAAUGAACCUCCCUGUCUGCAUUGUAUAGUCUGUAUUUUUUCUUUCUCUUUCUUUUUCUUCCCCCCCAUCCCUUUCUUUCCUUGUCAGAUCCCCCAGUGGGCUCUGUAAUUACUAUGUAGUGAGUGCUGCAUUCUAUACCAACCUCAUCCACUGAGGUUCUGCUUCUCUCCCUUAUAAAAAAAAGCCAUAUUAUUGUCACUUGGGUGGGGGGGGGGUGUUAAAGUUAACACCCGGGGGAUGGUUAAAAUGAGUUCCUGUCCCUGGUGCACACACACACACAAACACACACACACACACACACACACACACACACACACACACACACACACACACACACACAAACACACGCAAAUCUCCACUCUGGCCCAUUACAGCAAACAGAUUGUAUUAUGGACAAAGGGGACUCUGAGCUUGCCUGAGCAGGAGUAAAAAGGAAAGGAAAUUGCAAAGAGCAAAAAUAAGAGUGAUUCAUUAGACUUCCAUUCUUCCAUGCUCAUUCAACAUUCACAGUUAUCAAGUUCAAAAAUAAGAACAUACUUCAUACACACAGGAAAUACAGGUUGUACAGUUGGACACACACAUGCACACAAACACGCGGUUAAGGCAGUAUGGAUAUGGCGGCAGCAACAGUCUCGAUCUGUAUAGAUAAAUGUCUAUGAGACAAAGAGCUCGAGUGAAGGCAGAUGUGGAAUUUUGGACAGGCUAUUUGCCAGGACACCACAGGGAAGCGUGAGGGCCUUAAAGUGACAGAGAGGCUUGGAGCGCCUCCGCUUCUGCUGCCACAGUUCGCUCACACACACACACACACACACACCCCUCAAAUGUCUAGGCGCAGCGCUAGAGACAAAACUCGUGUGACAGAGGCGGCGGAUCGAGCCCAAGCUGCCUGUCGCGAGGCACUCGGCUGCAAGCGACAGCUGUCAAGUGGCGCGCUGGCGGCUCCGCUAAAAAACCUGCAGUGAAGCCAGAUCCCAUAAAUAUUGCCUCUUAAUGUACGCAGGCAACACUAAUCUGUCUCCUUCUCUAUUUGGAUAUGCAAAUGGCUGCGCCCAUGGCUCCCUUUCCUGUGGAGGCAUCAGUAAUGUGGAUUGAUGCAAAACUGACGUGGGACGUGAAAGAGAAAAAUCAGAUUCCUGUCUUUUGAGCGCGGCCCCCAGAUCCUACUCUCCACGGCGGCACGACCCGGCUGCCAGGCAAUCCGCCGGCUGCCAAGACGCAGAGAGAGAGAGAGAGAGAGAGAGAGAGAGAGAGAGAGAGAGAGGCACGCAAAUUGCUCUCAGUCUCUCUUUGCCCAGAGGGCAUCCAUUUAUUCCGACAUCGCCCAUCCGACACGGCAAAGACCAGAGCCUCAGUGCCCUCAGUGCCCGCUGCGGCCCACUCCGCCUUCACCCAUGCUCCUACCAACGAGAGACGGCCUCGGUUUUUAAUCAUGUGGCAGCCAACACUGGACCAUGUCUCAGUCUUGCCUCUACAUUCAAAAAAGACGUAACAUGUCGAGCUUUUGGUCCCAUGCUUCAUAAACUGAAAUAAAAGAUCCCAUCAUUUU